RNAcentral lists this transfer RNA (72 nucleotides) under Spraguea lophii 42_110. It matches the Rfam family "tRNA". From Rfam's summary of the family: Transfer RNA (tRNA) molecules are approximately 80 nucleotides in length. Their secondary structure includes four short double-helical elements and three loops (D, anti-codon, and T loops). The record is from Rfam by way of RNAcentral. Lineage: Eukaryota; Fungi; Microsporidia; Spragueidae.
GGGGGGUUAGCUCAGUGGUAGAGCGUUUGCUUCGCAAGUAAAAGGACUCGAGUUCAAUCCUCGAAUUCUCCA